GCUUGGCUAGCUCAGUCGGUAGAGCAUGAGACUUAAUCACAGGGUUGUGGGUUGGAUCCCCAAGUUGGGCA
Molecule: transfer RNA, 71 nt
Filed under: Danio rerio (zebrafish)
Lineage: Eukaryota; Metazoa; Chordata; Actinopteri; Cypriniformes; Danionidae
Rfam family: tRNA
About the family: Transfer RNA (tRNA) molecules are approximately 80 nucleotides in length. Their secondary structure includes four short double-helical elements and three loops (D, anti-codon, and T loops).
Source: Rfam by way of RNAcentral